This 229-nucleotide unclassified non-coding RNA is filed under the name Ambispora appendicula. Its description in RNAcentral is "partial contains 5.8S ribosomal RNA and internal transcribed spacer 2". The stretch from base 1 to 71 matches the Rfam family "5.8S ribosomal RNA", at positions 84 to 154 of the family's 154-position model. Lineage: Eukaryota; Fungi; Glomeromycota; Glomeromycetes; Archaeosporales; Ambisporaceae. The record is from RNAcentral.
GUGAAUCAUCAAAUUUUUGAACGCAUAUUGCACUCUCUGGUAUUCCGGAGAGUAUGCCUGUUUGAGGGUCAUUUGAAAUCAUAUAAAUUCUAAGAUUUUUUGGAAUUUAAAAUGGGUUGUCCAUUUUUUGUGGUCGCCUAAAAUUUAAGUGAAGUACAUUUUCUUGGGUUGCGUGAUACUUUUGGCUACCUCGUGAUUUAAUCAGGAAUCAUCGGGCGCGUUAUGAAUU